This 70-nucleotide transfer RNA is filed under the name Marmota monax (woodchuck). RNAcentral describes it as "tRNA.Thr". Lineage: Eukaryota; Metazoa; Chordata; Mammalia; Rodentia; Sciuridae. The record is from RNAcentral.
GGGUUGGGGCUCAGUGGUAGAGUGCUCGCCUAGUGUGGGUGAGGCACUAAGUUCGAACCUCAGCACCACA